UCCACUAUUAAUCAUUAUCACAAAAAUAUUUCUCUCUCUAAUUUUCUCUUCCCUCUCAUCUCUCUCUUUUAUCUCGAGAUUCUCAACACCAUAACCUCCUCUCCCACCUCAUUCAUCCCUCAUCGGCCACCACUGCCCAAGCGGCCAACAUUGCUGUCUUCACGGUGGUGGAUCUCAAGAUGGCGAUGAUACCAACAUUUGAAUCUAUUCUUUCCCAUGGUGGCAGAUCUCAAUUGUUCGAUAGGUUGUUUUCGAAUAGAUCAAUGUUGCGAUUAGAUAUGAUUCCAUCUCCCUAGCCAGCCGCCGAGUCGAACUCAGGUUUGUGUUGAUUUAUGCUUUUGUACCAGAUUUGUUUAUAAAGUUUGUGAUGUAGAAGCCGAAUGAGAGUUUGUUUUAUUUUAUACUCUUUAUUUGUGAGUUCUAGGCUUUUUUGUUUCAGUCUGGAGGUGGUGGAGGGCAUUUAGUGAUGGCGACAACGAUGGUAGCCUUUUCGAUAUUUUAUUCUCUAGUGCUUGCGUUUUGGAAAUUGAUUCGUGUCAUUAUGUCAUGUAAUGUAUACUUUUAAUCUGUAAAAUAAUGGUCGACAAUGGUAGUAUAUUUCCUUUUGUUUGCUGGAUGGGUGCUCUACACAUACUAUUUGUUUCUGGCUUAUUAUGGGAAGAGGGAAUGUAUUUUUACUUAACCUCGAUUGCUGGAUUAUGGUUGGACUCAUAAAAUCAUCCCAUCUUCGACAUAAUAGCUGCAUGACAGACUCGGUGACAUAACAGUAGGAUAGUACAUUAGUUCGUUCGUGAUAGUGGCAUAACCUACUUAUCUUAGGUGUCACAGGUUCAAAAAUAAUAGAGAUAUUAUGUUUGAUUGACUUUCUUAUUUAUUAGGUCGAUUACAUUAAUGUUGGUAUACAAAUUAGUGGGUUUUUUCACAGAUUUCCCAUAGGAUCUUUGAUGGUUUUACCUCCUACUUCGACGGGUCCCUGGGGGAGUAGCUGGAGGACGCGCCACAUGAUUACUACGAUCGGAUGGAGGGGAUGCGCCACCAGUUUGCAAACCACUACAUGGACUACCACCGCCAGAGAUGAGGUCGUCAUGAUUAGAGACUUCGUUUUAUAGACCUCUACUUUAUUGGUAUCAGACUUUGUAUUAGAGACUCAUUUGUCUUUCUUGUUAUUGUUAUGCAAUCUGCUCGGUUAUUUCAGUUUAAUGGUAUGUCAGACUUCAGAUGUGCUAUUACAUCUUCAAAUAGCACUAAAUGUGUUACCAUUCAAUCAACCUCAUAAUUAACCUCGAAAAAAUUGAAAAAAAAACCUAAGGGGCUGGCACAACACCCGUUUCGGCCAGCA
RNAcentral lists this long non-coding RNA (1339 nucleotides) under Linum usitatissimum (flax). Its description in RNAcentral is "long non-coding RNA (LUSI_LNC002798)". The record is from RNAcentral. Lineage: Eukaryota; Viridiplantae; Streptophyta; Magnoliopsida; Malpighiales; Linaceae.